This 366-nucleotide long non-coding RNA is filed under the name Theobroma cacao (cacao). RNAcentral describes it as "long non-coding RNA (TCAC_LNC002033)". Lineage: Eukaryota; Viridiplantae; Streptophyta; Magnoliopsida; Malvales; Malvaceae. The record is from RNAcentral.
CUGAGCUUGUAAUCUUGUCUUGGUUACAUCACUCUUCGUGCCUUCACUGCCAUUCUUUGUCUUGGUUACACAUCACUCUUCGUGCCUUCACUGCCAUUCUUUGUCUUGGUUACACAUCACUCUUCGUGCCUUCACUGCCAUUCUUCGUCUUGGUUACACAUCACUCUUCGUGCCUUCACUGCCAUUCUUCUUACUCCUCACUUGUUUCUCCCUGUGCUUCUUUGACUGCCCGUGAUUCUCCCAUUGCUUCUCACUCUUAAACUUCUCCCCACACGCCACACAAUACAACUCCUCCUUCUCUACUGCUUUCUCCUCCUUUUCAUCCCAAUCAUCCCUUUCUUGUUCUUCAACUUUCGCCCAUUCUGG